This 254-nucleotide ribosomal RNA is filed under the name uncultured bacterium. RNAcentral describes it as "partial 16S ribosomal RNA". It matches the Rfam family "Bacterial small subunit ribosomal RNA", at positions 524 to 776 of the family's 1533-position model. The record is from RNAcentral.
UACGUAGGGGGCAAGCGUUGUCCGGAUUUACUGGGCGUAAAGAGCGUGUAGGCGGCCAAGCAGGUCCGUUGUGAAAACUGGAGGCUUAACCUCCAGACGUCGACGGAAACCGCGUGGCUAGAGUCCGGAAGAGGAGAGUGGAAUUCCUGGUGUAGCGGUGAAAUGCGGCAGAUAUCAGGAAGAACACCAAUGGCGAAGGCAGCUCUCUGGGACGGUACUGACGCUGAGACGCGAAAGCGUGGGGAGCGAACAGG